Molecule: long non-coding RNA, 950 nt
Organism: Daktulosphaira vitifoliae (grape phylloxera)
Lineage: Eukaryota; Metazoa; Arthropoda; Insecta; Hemiptera; Phylloxeridae
Exons: 3
Source: RefSeq, a predicted model, not a curated record
UUGAAGCUCAGCUAGUAAUAAUAUAUUACACUAUUCAAAUUUUUAAUUGUUAAGUACAUUAUUAAUUCUUCUAUUCAUUAAUUUCUUUACUUUAGGUAAAACACCUACAAAUAAGGAGUCCGAAAGUUCUAAUUCUGAAAAUGCUAUAACUUUUUCUACUUGUCAUGAAGUUAUUUAUCGAACUCCCCAGCGUACAAGACAUGCUUUGUAGGUAUAUAUUUCAAAAUAUUAUAUGAGAAAUUUAUUUCGAAAAAUAGAUGUCUUCAAUUUACGGCAUCACAUGUGUAUAAUAUGAUUAAUUAAUUACUUAACUAACUUUUGUUAAAAGUUUGUUAUUGUAGUUCUAAUACUUGAAAACCAUGUUUAAUUGAGGGUUUUUGGAGAAAAUAAGAAGUGAAAUAUUUUGAAUUUAUUAAAAUACCUGUAAUUAAUAAAAAUACAAUUUUCAGGGACUUGAUAUCAAACUCAGGACCCCCGUUUUAAAAAAACUAAGCCAUUAAAUGUUAUCUGAAACGAGUCACCAUUAAUAAUAAUGAUAAUAAUGCAAUUAUUAAGGUAAUCAUGCUACAAGAACCAAUUAAUAUAAAGAAACAAAGAAACUGCUCAAAUAUAAAUUAGAAAAUAUUGAACAAAAAAUAUUCUUUCAAAAUGAAAAUAAUAAGAGACUACAAAGUCAAAUAGAUGAGUUGGACAUUAAUUAUACUGAUGCUUUAAAUAAAAUUGAGUCCCUCGAAUUAUCAAAUAAAAAUUUAGUUGCUGAAAAUCAAUAAUUAAAACAAAUCAACUCAGAACUCAUAGAGCAACUGAACAAUGGAAGUUAACGCCUAUGUGAAGAUUUGGUUUAUCCAGAUGUCUAAUCUAUAAUUAUGCGAAAUUUAUGUAUAUUUUACUUAAAAUAAUUAUUGUUUACAUUUUUUUAAAUUUUAACCAUCAGUAAGCUAUAACAGCAA